This 254-nucleotide ribosomal RNA is filed under the name uncultured bacterium. Its description in RNAcentral is "partial 16S ribosomal RNA". It matches the Rfam family "Bacterial small subunit ribosomal RNA", at positions 524 to 776 of the family's 1533-position model. The record is from RNAcentral. RNAcentral also lists the same sequence under 1 other name.
UACGGAGGGUGCAAGCGUUAUCCGGAAUCACUGGGUUUAAAGGGUGCGUAGGCGGUGGCGUAAGUCAGUUGUGAAAUUCCCCGGCUUAACCGGCGGGACUGCGAUUGAUACUGCGUUACUUGAAUCAGGUUGAGGUAGGCGGAAUGUGACAUGUAGCGGUGAAAUGCUUAGAUAUGUCAUAGAACACCGAUUGCGAAGGCAGCUUGCUGGACCUGUAUUGACGCUGAGGCACGAAAGCGUGGGGAGCAAACAGG